GGAACAGCGGCCUCUGACACCAGCACAGCAAACCCGCUGGGAUCAAAGUGUACCAGUCGGCAGCAUGGCUACGAAAUGUGGGAACUGUGGACCCGGCUACUCCACCCCUCUGGAGGCCAUGAAAGGUAAUUGCCCAUGGUCUGAGAGCCAGCGCCCUACUACUGAUUCCACAGCUGGGGGUGGAGGGACUUCAGACCUAGCCCCCACCCUCUGGCACACCCAGCACUUCCCCUACCUUUCCUUCCCACCCUGCCGUCCCUGCUGCCUGCUUUCUACCCUGCAGGACCCAGGGAAGAGAUCGUCUACCUGCCCUGCAUUUACCGAAACACAGGCACUGAGGCCCCAGAUUAUCUGGCCACUGUGGAUGUUGACCCCAAGUCUCCCCAGUAUUGCCAGGUUAGGCGGGGCUUGGGCGCCAGCUACUUUGAGACCGUAGCUGCCCUCAUCCCUGGCCCUGGGCCCCCCCUUCCCAGCUCCAUCCUUCUUGGCCCUCCCUGGGGAUGCUUGUGCACGCUCAACCUGGGACAAGGGGAGUGCUGAAAUCCAGCUUGUGCCGUGCUUCCAAACCAAAAUGCAUCCACGGGGGCGCCUCUUCCAAAAGUGGACAGAGGCGUGGCCUGGGAGAGCACCACCUCUCCCUGCAUCCUAGGUCAUCCACCGGCUGCCCAUGCCCAACCUGAAGGACGAGCUGCAUCACUCAGGAUGGAACACCUGCAGCAGCUGCUUCGGUGAUAGCACCAAGUCGCGCACCAAGCUGGUGCUGCCCAGUCUCAUCUCCUCUCGUAUCUAUGUGGUGGACGUGGGCUCUGAGCCCCGGGCCCCAAAGCUGCACAAGGUCAUUGAGCCCGAGGACAUCCAUGCCAAGUGCGAACUGGCCUUUCUCCACACCAGCCACUGCCUGGCCAGCGGGGAAGUGAUGAUCAGCUCCCUGGGAGACGUCAAGGGCAAUGGCAAAGGGGGUUUUGUGCUGCUGGAUGGGGAGACGUUCGAGGUGAAGGGGACGUGGGAGAGACCUGGGGGUGCUGCACCGUCGGGCUAUGACUUCUGGUACCAGCCUCGACACAAUGUCAUGAUCAGCACUGAGUGGGCAGCUCCCAAUGUCUUACGAGAUGGCUUCAACCCCGCUGAUGUGGAGGCUGGACUGUACGGGAGCCACUUAUAUGUAUGGGACUGGCAGCACCAUGAGAUUGUGCAGACCCUGUCUCUAAAAGAUGGGCUUAUUCCCUUGGAGAUCCGCUUCCUGCACAACCCAGACGCUGCCCAAGGCUUUGUGGGCUGCGCACUCAGCUCCACCAUCCAGCGCUUCUACAAGAACGAGGUGACAUACGCCCUCUGGCCCUCCCCUCCCAGUAGUCUUGUCAGCAGCUCUACCUAAGCAGGCUUCUGUAACGGUGCUCCCAGGCAUCUCCAGGAACGAAAAAAAUGAGGCUGCAUGCCCUGUCUCUCUUCUCUCAGUGCUAGGGCAACUUCUGCCUGAACCCUAACUGGCCGUAUUUAUUCAUUCAUUCAAAAACUACUUAGUGAAUGUCUGUGCUAGGCACUGUGCUAUGUUCUGGGAAUGCAGUGGUGAAGCAGACACAACCCCUGCCUCAAGGGGCUUGCAUGGAGUUAGAUCCUGCUGGCAAGAAGGCCAGGCAUCUAUUCUCUCCCUCCCAGGUCUGGGCAACCCAGAUCUAACCCCUAGUCCCCAAUUCUGAUAGGCUCACCUCUCUGCCAGCUAACCUCACCCUCCACCCCUCAAUGUAGGGAGGUACAUGGUCAGUGGAGAAGGUGAUCCAGGUGCCCCCCAAGAAAGUGAAGGGCUGGCUGCUGCCCGAAAUGCCAGGCCUGAUCACCGACAUCCUACUCUCCCUGGACGACCGCUUCCUCUACUUCAGCAACUGGCUGCAUGGGGACCUGAGGCAGUAUGACAUCUCUGACCCACAGAGACCCCGCCUCACAGGACAGGUGGAGACCCUGGCAGGAGGAGCAGAAGGGAAGGAAGGAAGGAGAAGAGAAGCUGGGGAUGGGGUGGAUGAUCUGAAGCAGCUGCAGGAUGUUGAGGGAGGUGCAGGAAAAGCAGACAUGUGUGCUGUGGGACAGCACAGUCCCAGGACUGUCCAGGCCAGGGAUGGGCAUGCAGAGCAUGUCUGAAAGGAGAGAGGGGUUCCAGCCAGGCAAGCUGCUCUUCCUGCAAUGUUUGCGCCUCCCACUAUGGUCCUCCUUAUACUCUGCACCUCCCCAUCUAGCUCUUCCUCGGAGGCAGCAUUGUUAAGGGAGGCCCUGUGCAAGUGCUGGAGGACCAGGAACUAAAGUCCCAGCCAGAGCCCCUAGUGGUCAAGGGAAAACGGGUGGCUGGAGGCCCUCAGAUGAUCCAGCUCAGCCUGGAUGGGAAGCGCCUCUAUAUCACCACGUCACUGUACAGUGCCUGGGACAAGCAGUUUUACCCUGAUCUCAUCAGGGAAGGCUCUGUGAUGCUGCAGGUUGAUGUAGACACAGUAAAAGGAGGGCUGAAGUUGAACCCCAACUUCCUGGUGGACUUCGGGAAGGAGCCCCUUGGCCCAGCCCUUGCCCAUGAGCUCCGCUACCCUGGGGGCGAUUGUAGCUCUGACAUCUGGAUUUGAACUCCACCCUCAUCACCCACACUCCCUAUUUUGGGCCCUCACUUCCUUGGGGACCUGGCUUCAUUCUGCUCUCUCUUGGCACCCGACCCUUGGCAGCAUGUACCACACAGCCAAGCUGAGACUGUGGCAAUGUGUUGAGUCAUAUACCUUUACUCACCACUGUUGCUUGUUGCUCACUGUGCUGCUUUUCCAUGAGCUCUUGGAGGCACCAAGAAAUAAACUGGCAACCCUGUCCUUC
RNAcentral lists this small RNA (2841 nucleotides) under Pan troglodytes (chimpanzee). RNAcentral describes it as "retained intron". Lineage: Eukaryota; Metazoa; Chordata; Mammalia; Primates; Hominidae. The record is from RNAcentral.